This 876-nucleotide long non-coding RNA is filed under the name Homo sapiens (human). RNAcentral's name for it is "novel transcript". Lineage: Eukaryota; Metazoa; Chordata; Mammalia; Primates; Hominidae. The record is from RNAcentral.
AUGGGGAGUAACACCAUGUGAAGACAGAGGUGGAGAUUGGAGGGGUGCAUGUACCAACCAAAGGAAUAUCAAGGGCUGGCAGCAGCACUAGAGCAAGCGAAAGGCAUGAAACAGAUUCUCCCCUAGAGCUGUAAGAGGCAGUGUGGCCCUGGCAACACCUUGCUUUAGGACUUCUAACCUCUAGAAUAAUGAGAUAAUGAGAGUAUAUUUCUGUUGGUUUCGGCCAUGCGGUUUGUGGUAACUGGUUCCAGCAGCCCUAGGAAUCUAAUACACUGCCCAUGGAACAAAUCCUUUCUUGACCACCAAUGGCUGCAUGACUUAUCCUGAGAAGAUCAUGGGGAUUUUGGAUGCCAGGUCAACCCUUACACUCAGCAAGGAAGUGGAAGGGCCUCAGUUUCAAACACUUUGUAAACACAGAGAUAAGGUCGUCCCUCUGUCACCCAGCCUGGAGUGUAGUGGUGCCGCCAGGCCUCACUGCAACCUCCAACUCCUGGGCUCAAGUGAUCCUCCAACCACAGCCUCCUGACUAGCUGGGAUUACAGGUUAUUUUGAGGAUCAAGUGAAACUUAGAAACAAUAACAACAAAAAAAGCAAAGUCUGUGAUCAAGAAGAAUUACUCUGUUGCAACAAUAUAAACUAAGAAAAAAAUACGCAAAAUUCUCUGCUGCCUUGGGAGAUGAUCUCAUGAUGUGUAUCAUUUACUUUUAAUAUUUUUAUUUAUUUAUUUUUGAGACGGAGUCUCGCUCUGUCGCCCAGGCUGGAGUGCAGUGGCGUGAUCUCGGCUCACUGCAACCUUCGCCUCCCGGGCUCAAGUGAUUCUCCUGCUUCAGCCUCCUGAGUAGCUGGGAUUAUAGGCAUGUGCCGCCAUGCCUGCCU